CCGGCGAUGUCCGAAUGGGGAAACCCAGUGCAAUUCGUUGCACUAUCGUUAACUGAAUACAUAGGUUAACGAGGCGAACCGGGGGAACUGAAACAUCUAAGUACCCCGAGGAAAAGAAAUCAACCGAGAUUCCCCCAGUAGCGGCGAGCGAACGGGGAGCAGCCCAGAGUCUGAAUCAGCUUGUGUGUUAGUGGAACGGUCUGGAAAGUCCGACGGUACAGGGUGAUAGUCCCGUACACCAAAAUGCACAGGCUGUGAACUCGAAGAGUAGGGCGGGACACGUGGUAUCCUGUCUGAAUAUGGGGGGACCAUCCUCCAAGGCUAAAUACUCCUGACUGACCGAUAGUGAACCAGUACCGUGAGGGAAAGGCGAAAAGAACCCCGGCGAGGGGAGUGAAAAAGAACCUGAAACCGUGUACGUACAAGCAGUGGGAGCACCUUCGGGUGUGACUGCGUACCUUUUGUAUAAUGGGUCAGCGACUUAUAUUCUGUAGCAAGGUUAACCGUAUAGGGGAGCCGCAGGGAAACCGAGUCUUAACUGGGCGUUAAGUUGCAGGGUAUAGACCCGAAACCCGGUGAUCUAGCCAUGGGCAGGUUGAAGGUUGGGUAACACUAACUGGAGGACCGAACCGACUAAUGUUGAAAAAUUAGCGGAUGACUUGUGGCUGGGGGUGAAAGGCCAAUCAAACCGGGAGAUAGCUGGUUCUCCCCGAAAGCUAUUUAGGUAGCGCCUCGUGAAUUCAUCUUCGGGGGUAGAGCACUGUUUCGGCUAGGGGGUCAUCCCGACUUACCAACCCGAUGCAAACUACGAAUACCGAAGAAUGUUAUCACGGGAGACACACGGCGGGUGCUAACGUCCGUCGUGAAGAGGGAAACAACCCAGACCGCCAGCUAAGGUCCCAAAGUCAUGGUUAAGUGGGAAACGAUGUGGGAAGGCACAGACAGCCAGGAUGUUGGCUUAGAAGCAGCCAUCAUUUAAAGAAAGCGUAAUAGCUCACUGGUCGAGUCGGCCUGCGCGGAAGAUGUAACGGGGCUAAACCAUGCACCGAAGCUGCGGCAGCGACACUAUGUGUUGUUGGGUAGGGGAGCGUUCUGUAAGCCUGCGAAGGUGACCUGUGAGGGUUGCUGGAGGUAUCAGAAGUGCGAAUGCUGACAUAAGUAACGAUAAAGCGGGUGAAAAGCCCGCUCGCCGGAAGACCAAGGGUUCCUGUCCAACGUUAAUCGGGGCAGGGUGAGUCGACCCCUAAGGCGAGGCCGAAAGGCGUAGUCGAUGGGAAACAGGUUAAUAUUCCUGUACUUGGUGUUACUGCGAAGGGGGGACGGAGAAGGCUAUGUUAGCCGGGCGACGGUUGUCCCGGUUUAAGCAUGUAGGCUGGUUGUCCAGGCAAAUCCGGAUAAUCAAGGCUGAGGUGUGAUGACGAGGCACUACGGUGCUGAAGUAACAAAUGCCCUGCUUCCAGGAAAAGCCUCUAAGCAUCAGGUAACAUUAAAUCGUACCCCAAACCGACACAGGUGGUCAGGUAGAGAAUACCAAGGCGCUUGAGAGAACUCGGGUGAAGGAACUAGGCAAAAUGGUGCCGUAACUUCGGGAGAAGGCACGCUGGUGUGUAGGUGAAGUCCCUGCGGAUGGAGCUGAGACCAGUCGAAGAUACCAGCUGGCUGCAACUGUUUAUUAAAAACACAGCACUGUGCAAACACGAAAGUGGACGUAUACGGUGUGACGCCUGCCCGGUGCCGGAAGGUUAAUUGAUGGGGUUAUCCGUAAGGAGAAGCUCUUGAUCGAAGCCCCGGUAAACGGCGGCCGUAACUAUAACGGUCCUAAGGUAGCGAAAUUCCUUGUCGGGUAAGUUCCGACCUGCACGAAUGGCGUAAUGAUGGCCAGGCUGUCUCCACCCGAGACUCAGUGAAAUUGAACUCGCUGUGAAGAUGCAGUGUACCCGCGGCAAGACGGAAAGACCCCGUGAACCUUUACUAUAGCUUGACACUGAACAUUGAGCCUUGAUGUGUAGGAUAGGUGGGAGGCUUUGAAGCGUGGACGCCAGUCUGCGUGGAGCCAACCUUGAAAUACCACCCUUUAAUGUUUGAUGUUCUAACGUUGGCCCCUUACCGGGGUUGCGGACAGUGUCUGGUGGGUAGUUUGACUGGGGCGGUCUCCUCCCAAAGCGUAACGGAGGAGCACGAAGGUUAGCUAAUCCUGGUCGGACAUCAGGAGGUUAGUGCAAUGGCAUAAGCUAGCUUGACUGCGAGCGUGACGGCGCGAGCAGGUGCGAAAGCAGGUCAUAGUGAUCCGGUGGUUCUGAAUGGAAGGGCCAUCGCUCAACGGAUAAAAGGUACUCCGGGGAUAACAGGCUGAUACCGCCCAAGAGUUCAUAUCGACGGCGGUGUUUGGCACCUCGAUGUCGGCUCAUCACAUCCUGGGGCUGAAGUAGGUCCCAAGGGUAUGGCUGUUCGCCAUUUAAAGUGGUACGCGAGCUGGGUUUAGAACGUCGUGAGACAGUUCGGUCCCUAUCUGCCGUGGGCGCUGGAGAAUUGAGGGGGGCUGCUCCUAGUACGAGAGGACCGGAGUGGACGCAUCACUGGUGUUCGGGUUGUCAUGCCAAUGGCACUGCCCGGUAGCUAAAUGCGGAAGAGAUAAGUGCUGAAAGCAUCUAAGCACGAAACUUGCCCCGAGAUGAGUUCUCCCUGAGACUUUAAGUCUCCUGAAGGAACGUUAAAGACGAUGACGUUGAUAGGCCGGGUGUGUAAGCGCAGCGAUGCGUUGAGCUAACCGGUACUAAUGAACCGUGAGGCUUAACCUU
RNAcentral lists this ribosomal RNA (2798 nucleotides) under Klebsiella pneumoniae. RNAcentral's name for it is "partial 23S ribosomal RNA". It matches the Rfam family "Bacterial large subunit ribosomal RNA". The record is from RNAcentral. Lineage: Bacteria; Pseudomonadati; Pseudomonadota; Gammaproteobacteria; Enterobacterales; Enterobacteriaceae.